RNAcentral lists this ribosomal RNA (652 nucleotides) under uncultured bacterium. RNAcentral's name for it is "bacterial SSU rRNA". It matches the Rfam family "Bacterial small subunit ribosomal RNA", at positions 356 to 1020 of the family's 1533-position model. The record is from RNAcentral.
AAGGAAUUUUCCGCAAUGGGCGCAAGCCUGACGGAGCAACGCCGCGUGCGGGAUGACGCCUUUCGGGGUGUAAACCGCUGUUCGUGGGGACGAAGCACUGACGGUACCCACGGAGGAAGGCCCGGCUAACUACGUGCCAGCAGCCGCGGUAAUACGUAGGGGCCGAGCGUUGUCCGGAGUUACUGGGCGUAAAGCGUGCGCAGGCGGCGUAUCGCGCCCGGCGUGAAAGCCCCCGGCUCAACCGGGGAGGGUCGUCGGGGACGGGUACGCUUGAGGGCAGCAGGGGCUGGUGGAAUUCCCGGUGUAGUGGUGAAAUGCGUAGAGAUCGGGAGGAACACCUGUGGCGAAGGCGGCCAGCUGGGCUGCACCUGACGCUGAGGCACGAAGGCGUGGGGAGCGAACGGGAUUAGAUAUCCCGGUAGUCCACGCAGUAAACGAUGCAGACUAGGCGUGGGGGGACUUGACCCCCUCCGUGCCGGAGCUAACGCGGGAAGUCUGCCGCCUGGGGAGUACGGCCGCAAGGCUAAAACUCAAAGGAAUUGACGGGGGCCCGCACAAGCGGCGGAGCGUGUUGUUUAAUUCGUCGCAACGCGAAGAACCUUACCAGGGCUUGACAUGGACCUGCACGCCCCGGGAAACCGGGGAAGCCUAC